UACAGAGGGUGCAAGCGUUAAUCGGAAUUACUGGGCGUAAAGCGCGCGUAGGUGGUUUGUUAAGUUGGAUGUGAAAGCCCCGGGCUCAACCUGGGAACUGCAUCCAAAACUGGCAAGCUAGAGUACGGUAGGGGGUGGUGGAAUUUCCUGUGUAGCGGUGAAAUGCGUAGAUAUAGGAAGGAACACUAGUGGCGAAGGCGACCACCUGGACUGAUACUGACACUGAGGUGCGAAAGCGUGGGGAGCAAACAGG
Molecule: ribosomal RNA, 253 nt
Filed under: uncultured bacterium
Lineage: Bacteria
Description: partial 16S ribosomal RNA
Rfam family: Bacterial small subunit ribosomal RNA
Source: RNAcentral